RNAcentral lists this long non-coding RNA (1515 nucleotides) under Taeniopygia guttata (zebra finch). Its description in RNAcentral is "lncRNA (ENSTGUG00000028324.1)". The record is from RNAcentral. Lineage: Eukaryota; Metazoa; Chordata; Aves; Passeriformes; Estrildidae.
AUGGGAGGGAACCUCGCCAAAAGUGAUUUAGACGCACUCCAAAAAUUAGAAUCCUUAGUGAAACAGCACCCAUCAAAAUUGCACAAAAAGGAUUUGGAAAAUGUGUUACUUUGGGCAAAGGAAAAUUACCCAUCUCUUAAAGAGGAAGAUUUAUUUCAGUCCUGUUUUUGGGUGGAUGCUAGCGUCAAAUUAUAUGAGUACGUGGCAUCCCACGAUCCAAAUGCAGGAGUGUUGUUUGCGGCUUCUAGAGCACUUUAUCAGGUUACAUAUGAUGCAAAAUAUUCGCAAUCUACUGCACAUCAAUCAUUGAAAAAUCCCCAAACACCUGAGAGUUUUUCCCUCGGGGAAGAAGGGCAGGAGUCUGCCGCCGCACAAAGUGGAUUUCUGGAGAAACCCCCCGAAACUCGUGACCCCGGGGCGACCCUGCCAAGGCUCGGGAAGCGGCUGCUCCCCCUGAGGAGAACCCGUCUGAAGGGGAGGGCAGGGCGGGAGAGGGGACGGGGCGGGAAGGAGAGAAUAAAGCGAUUGCGUCUCGGGAGGAGCCCGAAAGACAGCGGCUUCCACGGUUUAAAUUACUCAUCGGUAAAGAGGACGAAGAAGACGUAUCUUUUUUUGACUUUCUUACAUCUCUGUACAUCCCUGAGGUGGGAGAAGGGGGGCUGGAGGGGCCGCUCCAUUCCCUUCCCCUUUCUCCGCCCCAGCCCCAACUCUGGGAGGCGGCACAGGCGCCCGAGGCGUUCGUGGCAAAGUCUUCGGCCUCCGGCGGGCCGCCCUCAGCCUCGGGCGGCUGCCAGCCUCCGACAAAGACGCCACAGGGGCACGCCCCAGCGGGUCGCUGGGUCAGAACGGCCCCGGGGCCGGCCGGCGCCAUCCCAGUGCCGCCCAUGCCCGUCCCCGAGCCGGGAACAGCGGCCCUGGGGCCGGCCGGCACCAUCCCAGUGCCGCCCAUGCCCGUCCCUGAGCCGGGAACAGCGGCCCUGGGGCCGGCCGGCACCAUCCCAGUGCCGCCCAUGCCCGUCCCUGAGCCGGGAACAGCGGCGCGGGGAAGACCCGCGGGCACCGGGUGUGGUGUCACCACCCGCCCGCCUUGCCGGGCCGCGCAGGCUCAGUCCCAGCCAGGGUUGGCGCAUGCUCCCUGCGCACCCGCUAUUCACCCGCCCGCAGGCGCACGCACCGCGGUCUGACCCGCGCCCCGCGUUCCGGCAGCCCGCGUUCCCUCUGCCGCCGCGGCUGCGGGGCCGAUGCGGGCAAGCAGCACGCCGCUACAGCCGCCACCGCCGCCGCCCCAUGAGGAGACACUCGCAGCGCCACAUCUCGGCACAGCUCAGCUUUUCCAGCCACCCCGGGUGGCGGCAGCUGCUGCCGCGGCGGAAAGCGGCUCACGGCCGAUCCGUGGAACAACAACGCCGCCUUGUGGAACAAAGGCAACGUUGCAACAAGCGUUGCAAAGGCUGCAGGAAAACAAUGCAAGAUCAUUUUAAUCCAGGAUGUACAGAAUCGUCCGCGAUCAGUUGA